This 89-nucleotide transfer RNA is filed under the name Clostridiales bacterium. RNAcentral describes it as "tRNA-Ser". It matches the Rfam family "tRNA". Rfam says of the family: Transfer RNA (tRNA) molecules are approximately 80 nucleotides in length. The record is from RNAcentral. RNAcentral also lists the same sequence under 4 other names. Lineage: Bacteria; Bacillati; Bacillota; Clostridia; Eubacteriales.
GCAGCGGUAUCGAAGUGGUCAUAACGGGGCUGACUCGAAAUCAGUUUGCAGGAAACUGCACGUGGGUUCGAAUCCCACCCGCUGCGCCA